UGACGGCCUUCGGGUUKUAACCAGUUUUUGAUCGGGAGCAAGCCUUSGGKUGAGUUUACUUUURGAAUAAGCACCKGGCUAAUUACGUGCCAGCAGCCGCGKUAAUACGUURGGUGCAAGCKUUAUCCGGAAUUAUUKGGCGUAAAGUGCUCGUAGGCGGUUCGUCGCGUCCGGUGUGAAAGUCCAUCGCUUAACGGUGGAUCUGCGCCGGGUACGGGCGGGCUGGAGUGCGGUAGGGGAGACUGGAAUUCCCGGUGUAACGGUGGAAUGUGUAGAUAUCGGGAAGAACACCAAUGGCGAAGGCAGGUCUCUGGGCCGUUACUGACGCUGAGGAGCGAAAGCGUGGGGAGCGAACAGGAUUAGAUACCCUGGUAGUCCACGCCGUAAACGGUGGAUGCUGGACGUGGGGCCCGUUCCACGGGUUCCGUGUCGGASUAACGCGUUAAGCAUCCCGCCUGGGGAGUACGGCCGCAAGGCUAAAACUCAAAGAAAUUGACGGGGGCCCGCACAAGCGGCGGAGCAUGCGGAUUAAUUCGAUGCAACGCGAAGAACCUUACCUGGGCUUGACAUGUUCCCGACAGCCGUAGAGAUAUGGCCUCUUCGGGGCGGGUUCACAGGUGGUGCAUGGUCGUCGUCAGCUCGUGUCGUGAGAUGUUGGGUUAAGUCCCGCAACGAGCGCAACCCUCGCCCUGUGUUGCCAGCACGUCAUGGUGGGAACUCACGGGGGACCGCCGGGGUCAACUCGGAGGAAGGUGGGGAUGACGUCAGAUCAUCAUGCCCCUUACGUCCAGGGCUUCACGCAUGCUACAAUGGCCGGUACAACGGGAUGCGACACGGCGACGUGGAGCGGAUCCCUGAAAACCGGUCUCAGUUCGGAUUGGAGUCUGCAACCCGACUCCAUGAAGGCGGAGUCGCUAGUAAUCGCGGAUCAGCAACGCCGCGGUGAAUGCGUUCCCGGGCCUUGUACACACCGCCCGUCAAGUCAUGAAAGUGGGUAGCACCCGAAGCCGGUGGCCUAACCCUUUGUGGAUGGAGCCGUCUAAGGUGAGACUCGUGAUUGGGACUAAGUCGUAACAAGGUAACCGUAAGCUUCACAAUCCC
Molecule: ribosomal RNA, 1101 nt
Filed under: uncultured bacterium (human infant) L127dC
Lineage: Bacteria
Description: bacterial SSU rRNA
Rfam family: Bacterial small subunit ribosomal RNA
Source: RNAcentral